ACACUGACACAUGAAUGACAUUUACAUUGUUCAGAAUAAAAUCAAGGAUACUUUCAAAUAAUGAGCCACAGAAAAAUUGCUGGAGCAAAAUUGUCUUCAGAAUGAAACACAGGCUCAUUUGAAAUGAGAGUUUUUUCAUUAAAAAAAUGGUGCAGCUAAUAAUAAAGUCUUUUAACCUGUAUUUUGUUAUAGGUGACAGGUGAACAAAUCACAGGUCUUGAGUUUCUCUACCCUGCCUCUCUUGGUAACGUCAUCUCCAGUACCAUCUGCUACCUACCAGACAAACAGACCAACCACAUAAUGAGGUUGUCUGUUACAGAUUUUAAGUGAGCUACAAACUUCCAUCAAAUACUUAUAGCUGUUGGAUAAAGAUACUAAGAAUAAAAAGAUAAAUGGAAGCAAAAGGCAAUGAUGUUGUUCUCCUAAAAUGUGAGCCAGUUUGCUUCCUGUCAGCAAGUGGAGCUCAGCUCAGCUCUUCCUCUCCCCGAGUUGCUGCAGACAGACCAGCAGCUCCGUGGACUGACUUGAAAUGGUUCGGGCAAAUUAUUACUCCAUUCAUGGAUCACCUUCUGCACUUCUUAUAUACUGAGUUAGACACUUUGGUCAUUUUAAAGUGAAGGAGAAUAAUGAAAUUAUCUUCACAAGGAACACUCUUCCAUUUAAAAAUAGGACAUUUCUUGUCACCAAUGCUGUCCCCAAAUUGUAAAUUAACGUAUUUUAAAAUAUUUUUUUCAGUAUUCCAGGGUAGGAAAUAUGUUAUAUCUGUUUCUUUUUGCAAAUGAUUGCUAUCCUUAUCUAGUUCGUACAGAAAUGGUGUCUGAGUCAUGGGAAAUUUAAGUGGUUUGUCUCAAGAAAAUUUGGUGGUAUGCAUGUUCAUGAUGCACAUAGAGCUGCUGAAUGAAUAAUUGGCCUCUAUUUAAUGUCCUCUGCUUUAAAGCUGUCUAGUACAUUUGCUGUUUAAAAAAAUGUCUUUCAAAGCUGUUAAAUAUGUAACAAAAAGAGGUUGCUCUCCCCAUUCUGACAUGAACAAAGCCAUACAGUGAGCUGCCCGAGGUACUUCCAGCAUGGGAUUAAUUACAAACACAAUCAUAAAUGGAAAUUUUCAAAGUUUUCCAAUUCUUUUUCUUUGCAAUACCAGCUGAUGAGUAUUUGAUAAAAGAAUGCAGUAAAAAUAUUAGUCCAGGAAUUAGCUAUUAAAUAUUAAGCUAAGCAUUUUUCAGAGUAUGGGAUCUGUUGGAUCCCAUAAUUCCACCAUUUACCCCUGAUGGAGUGAGAUCUCUGGCUGUCUUCAGAAGCAAACCGAGCUUAAAACAGGAACGCACUCUCAAGAAGAUGAUCGACUAAGAAUGUGUUUUAUUUUGAUUUGAAAAACUGUCAAUCACAAAUAAAAAAGACCAAAUACUGUUAUUAUAUAUACUA
Molecule: long non-coding RNA, 1419 nt
Filed under: Parus major (Great Tit)
Lineage: Eukaryota; Metazoa; Chordata; Aves; Passeriformes; Paridae
Description: lncRNA (ENSPMJG00000019178.1)
Source: RNAcentral